Molecule: small nuclear RNA, 165 nt
Filed under: Cebus imitator (Panamanian white-faced capuchin)
Lineage: Eukaryota; Metazoa; Chordata; Mammalia; Primates; Cebidae
Description: U1 spliceosomal RNA (ENSCCAG00000015543.1)
Rfam family: U1 spliceosomal RNA
About the family: U1 is a small nuclear RNA (snRNA) component of the spliceosome (involved in pre-mRNA splicing). Its 5' end forms complementary base pairs with the 5' splice junction, thus defining the 5' donor site of an intron.
Source: Rfam by way of RNAcentral
CUACUUACCUGGCAGGGGAGAUACCACGAUCACAACGGUGGUUUUCCCAGGGCGAGACUUAGCCAUUGCACUAUGGAUGUGCUGACCCCUGCGAUUUCCCCAAAUGUGGGAAAACUCGACUGCAUAAUUUGUGGUAGCGGGGGACUGCGUUCAUGCUUUCCUCUG